CCUACGGGUCGCAGCAGUGGGGAAUAUUGGACAAUGGGCGAAAGCCUGAUCCAGCAAUGCCGCGUGUGUGAAGAAGGUCUUCGGAUUGUAAAGCACUUUCGACGGGGACGAUGAUGACGGUACCCGUAGAAGAAGCCCCGGCUAACUUCGUGCCAGCAGCCGCGGUAAUACGAAGGGGGUUAGCGUUGCUCGGAAUGACUGGGCGUAAAGGGCGCGUAGGCGGUUUAUGCAGUCAGAUGUGAAAUCCCCGGGCUUAACCUGGGAACUGCAUUUGAGACGCAUAGACUAGAGGUCGAGAGAGGGUUGUGGAAUUCCCAGUGUAGAGGUGAAAUUCGUAGAUAUUGGGAAGAACACCGGUGGCGAAGGCGGCAACCUGGCUCGGUACUGACGCUGAGGCGCGAAAGCGUGGGGAGCAAACAGGAUUAGAUACCCCAGUAGUC
RNAcentral lists this ribosomal RNA (440 nucleotides) under uncultured bacterium. RNAcentral's name for it is "bacterial SSU rRNA". It matches the Rfam family "Bacterial small subunit ribosomal RNA", at positions 338 to 795 of the family's 1533-position model. The record is from RNAcentral.